This 363-nucleotide transfer-messenger RNA is filed under the name Salmonella enterica. It matches the Rfam family "transfer-messenger RNA". From Rfam's summary of the family: Bacterial tmRNA, also known as 10Sa RNA or SsrA, is named for its dual tRNA and mRNA-like properties. RNAcentral also lists the same sequence under 11 other names. The record is from RNAcentral. Lineage: Bacteria; Pseudomonadati; Pseudomonadota; Gammaproteobacteria; Enterobacterales; Enterobacteriaceae.
GGGGCUGAUUCUGGAUUCGACGGGAUUUGCGAAACCCAAGGUGCAUGCCGAGGGGCGGUUGGCCUCGUAAAAAGCCGCAAAAAAAUAGUCGCAAACGACGAAAACUACGCUUUAGCAGCUUAAUAACCUGCUUAGAGCCCUCUCUCCCUAGCCUCCGCUCUUAGGACGGGGAUCAAGAGAGGUCAAACCCAAAAGAGAUCGCGUGGAGACCCUGCCUGGGGUUGAAGCGUUAAAACGAAUCAGGCUAGUCUGGUAGUGGCGUGUCGGUCCGCAGGUGCCAGGCGAAUGUAAAGACUGACUAAGCAUGUAGUACCGAGGAUGUAGGAAUUUCGGACGCGGGUUCAACUCCCGCCAGCUCCACCA